Molecule: ribosomal RNA, 786 nt
Filed under: uncultured archaeon
Lineage: Archaea
Description: bacterial SSU rRNA
Rfam family: Archaeal small subunit ribosomal RNA
Source: RNAcentral
ACGGCUCAGUAACACGUGGAUAACCUGCCCUAAGGAAGGGGAUAACCCCGGGAAACUGGGGAUAAUACCCUAUAGGUUAUAGAUGCUGGAAUGCUCUGUAACUCAAAGUUCCGGCGCCUUAGGAUGGAUCUGCGGCCGAUUAGGUUGUUGUUGGGGUAAUGGCCCAACAAGCCUGUAAUCGGUACGGGUUGUGGGAGCAAGAGCCCGGAGUUGGAUUCUGAGACACGAAUCCAGGCCCUACGGGGCGCAGCAGGCGCGAAAACUUUACAAUGCGGGCAACCGUGAUAAGGGAACCUCGAGUGCCUGUAUAUGCAGGCUGUCCAGGUGUCUAAAACACACCUGAAGAAAGGGCCGGGCAAGACCGGUGCCAGCCGCCGCGGUAAUACCGGCGGCUCGAGUGGUGGCCACUUUUAUUGGGCUUAAAGCGUUCGUAGCUGGGUUGUUAAGUCUCUUGGGAAAUCUGGCGGCUUAACCGUCAGGCGUCUAAGGGAUACUGGCAAUCUUGGAACCGGGAGAGGUGAGGGGUACUUCGGGGGUAGGAGUGAAAUCCUGUAAUCCUCGAGGGACCACCUGUGGCGAAGGCGCCUCACCAGAACGGCUUCGACAGUGAGGGACGAAAGCUGGGGGAGCAAACCGGAUUAGAUACCCGGGUAGUCCCAGCCGUAAACGAUGUGCGUUAGGUGUAUCGACGACCACGAGUCGUCGAGGUGCCGAAGGGAAACCGUGAAACGUACCGCCUGGGAAGUACGGUCGCAAGGCUGAAACUUAAAGGAAUUGGCGGGGGAG